Molecule: unclassified non-coding RNA, 824 nt
Filed under: Hevea brasiliensis (rubber tree)
Lineage: Eukaryota; Viridiplantae; Streptophyta; Magnoliopsida; Malpighiales; Euphorbiaceae
Source: RNAcentral
UUUGUUUGUUAUGAUUUGAUUCGGCCAGAUGUUGCCCUUGAGCUUGCCUGGAUGAAUAAUAUGAUUGACUUUGCAUUCCCUUACCUGUUACAGUUUAUCCGUGAAUACACUGGCAAGGUAGAUGAGCUGAUAAAAGAUAAGAUUGAGGCUCAAAAAGAAGCAAAAGCCAAAGAGAAUGAAGAGAAGGAUGUUAUGAAGCAGCAGAAUAUGUAUGCUCAGCUGCUUCCUCUGGCUUUGCCUGCUCCGCCAAUGCCAGGUAUGGGAGGUGCUGGUAUGGGUGGAGGUUUUGCUCCGCCACCACCUCAAAUGGGUGGAAUGGGAAUGCCUCCGAUGCCUCCAUUUGGCAUGCCACCAAUGGGUUCCUACUAAUCUGACGGUGUUAUCCUCUGGUGUAAAACAAAGCAUUAUGAAGAAAGGACACAAUCGGGCUUUUUUAAAUUUUAUUUUAUUUAGUCUCCCCCUCUGAGGUUUCUUUUCAAGUACCUUGCAGUUAGUUUCUGAAGAGGAGGGCACAAGUGGAGACUACGAGAAAUAAUUGUUUCUGUUGUGUGUCAUAGUGUGUUGAUAUCUCUCCUUGUAAUAUUCUUUUAGAAAAAGGCAUUUUUUGCAGUUAGGCAGCAAGUUGAGGAUAUUUUGUAGACAACUUUGUAAAGAUGCAUUAUAUUGCUUUUUAACUGGUUUUUCUGGGGUUGGUGUUUAAUUUUCUUCAGUUUUCAAUUGUUGUAAUUUUUCCAGGUGGUAUGCUUUUGGAUAAAAUCACGUUGAAUGCUUUCUUUAGUAUGCAAAUGGAAGUAUUGUGCUUCUUGUUUACUAUUCGAACUGUG